This 1411-nucleotide ribosomal RNA is filed under the name bacterium NLAE-zl-P354. Its description in RNAcentral is "bacterial SSU rRNA". It matches the Rfam family "Bacterial small subunit ribosomal RNA". The record is from RNAcentral.
AUCNGGCUACCAUGCAGUCGAGGGGCAGCAUUUCAGUUUGCUUGCAAACUGGAGAUGGCGACCGGCGCACGGGUGAGUAACACGUAUCCAACCUGCCGAUAACUCGGGGAUAGCCUUUCGAAAGAAAGAUUAAUACCCGAUGGNAUAAUCAGACCGCAUGGUCUUAUUAUUAAAGAAUUUCGGUUAUCGAUGGGGAUGCGUUCCAUUAGGCAGUUGGUGAGGUAACGGCUCACCAAACCUUCGAUGGAUAGGGGUUCUGAGAGGAAGGUCCCCCACAUUGGAACUGAGACACGGUCCAAACUCCUACGGGAGGCAGCAGUGAGGAAUAUUGGUCAAUGGGCGCAGGCCUGAACCAGCCAAGUAGCGUGAAGGAUGACUGCCCUAUGGGUUGUAAACUUCUUUUAUAUGGGAAUAAAGUUUUCCACGUGUGGAAUUUUGUAUGUACCAUAUGAAUAAGGAUCGGCUAACUCCGUGCCAGCAGCCGCGGUAAUACGGAGGAUCCGAGCGUUAUCCGGAUUUAUUGGGUUUAAAGGGAGCGUAGGUGGACAGUUAAGUCAGUUGUGAAAGUUUGCGGCUCAACCGUAAAAUUGCAGUUGAUACUGGCUGUCUUGAGUACAGUAGAGGUGGGCGGAAUUCGUGGUGUAGCGGUGAAAUGCUUAGAUAUCACGAAGAACUCCGAUUGCGAAGGCAGCUCACUGGACUGCAACUGACACUGAUGCUCGAAAGUGUGGGUAUCAAACAGGAUUAGAUACCCUGGUAGUCCACACAGUAAACGAUGAAUACUCGCUGUUUGCGAUAUACAGUAAGCGGCCAAGCGAAAGCAUUAAGUAUUCCACCUGGGGAGUACGCCGGCAACGGUGAAACUCAAAGGAAUUGACGGGGGCCCGCACAAGCGGAGGAACAUGUGGUUUAAUUCGAUGAUACGCGAGGAACCUUACCCGGGCUUAAAUUGCAUUUGAAUANUNUGGAAACAGNNUAGCCGNAAGGCAAAUGUGAAGGUGCUGCAUGGUUGUCGUCAGCUCGUGCCGUGAGGUGUCGGCUUAAGUGCCAUAACGAGCGCAACCCUUAUCUUUAGUUACUAACAGGUCAUGCUGAGGACUCUAGAGAGACUGCCGUCGUAAGAUGUGAGGAAGGUGGGGAUGACGUCAAAUCAGCACGGCCCUUACGUCCGGGGCUACACACGUGUUACAAUGGGGGGUACAGAAGGCAGCUACCUGGUGACAGGAUGCUAAUCCCAAAAGCCUCUCUCAGUUCGGAUCGAAGUCUGCAACCCGACUUCGUGAAGCUGGAUUCGCUAGUAAUCGCGCAUCAGCCAUGGCGCGGUGAAUACGUUCCCGGGCCUUGUACACACCGCCCGUCAAGCCAUGAAAGCCGGGGGUACCUGAAGUACGAACCGCAAGGAGCUCCUAGG